RNAcentral lists this ribosomal RNA (610 nucleotides) under Pseudomonas veronii. RNAcentral describes it as "bacterial SSU rRNA". It matches the Rfam family "Bacterial small subunit ribosomal RNA", at positions 166 to 769 of the family's 1533-position model. The record is from RNAcentral. Lineage: Bacteria; Pseudomonadati; Pseudomonadota; Gammaproteobacteria; Pseudomonadales; Pseudomonadaceae.
AUACCGCAUACGUCCUACGGGAGAAAGCAGGGGACCUUCGGGCCUUGCGCUAUCAGAUGAGCCUAGGUCGGAUUAGCUAGUUGGUGAGGUAAUGGCUCACCAAGGCGACGAUCCGUAACUGGUCUGAGAGGAUGAUCAGUCACACUGGAACUGAGACACGGUCCAGACUCCUACGGGAGGCAGCAGUGGGGAAUAUUGGACAAUGGGCGAAAGCCUGAUCCAGCCAUGCCGCGUGUGUGAAGAAGGUCUUCGGAUUGUAAAGCACUUUAAGUUGGGAGGAAGGGCAGUUACCUAAUACGUGAUUGUUUUGACGUUACCGACAGAAUAAGCACCGGCUAACUCUGUGCCAGCAGCCGCGGUAAUACAGAGGGUGCAAGCGUUAAUCGGAAUUACUGGGCGUAAAGCGCGCGUAGGUGGUUAGUUAAGUUGGAUGUGAAAUCCCCGGGCUCAACCUGGGAACUGCAUUCAAAACUGCACUGACUAGAGUAUGGUAGAGGGUGGUGGAAUUCUCCUGUGUAGCGGUGAAAUGCGUAGAUAUAGGAAGGAACACCAGUGGCGAAGGCGACCACCUGGACUGAUACUGACACUGAGGUGCGAAAGCGUGGGGAGC